Molecule: transfer RNA, 72 nt
Filed under: Felis catus (domestic cat)
Lineage: Eukaryota; Metazoa; Chordata; Mammalia; Carnivora; Felidae
Also listed under: 5 other names
Rfam family: tRNA
About the family: Transfer RNA (tRNA) molecules are approximately 80 nucleotides in length. Their secondary structure includes four short double-helical elements and three loops (D, anti-codon, and T loops). Further hydrogen bonds mediate the characteristic L-shaped molecular structure. tRNAs have two regions of fundamental functional importance: the anti-codon, which is responsible for specific mRNA codon recognition, and the 3' end, to which the tRNAs corresponding amino acid is attached (by aminoacyl-tRNA synthetases). tRNAs cope with the degeneracy of the genetic code in two manners: having more than one tRNA (with a specific anti-codon) for a particular amino acid; and 'wobble' base-pairing, i.e. permitting non-standard base-pairing at the 3rd anti-codon position.
Source: Rfam by way of RNAcentral
GCCUGGCUGGCUCAGUCUGAGAGCAUGUGACUCUUGAUCUUGAGAUUGUGAGUUCAAGCCCCAUGUUGGGUG